AUUUCUCCUCUCCUCUCCUUCAAAAAAGCCCUGAAUCCUCUCUCCCUCUCUCGGUCUGUUGGCCCAAAAGCCAGCGAGGUGCAGGCCAAGCGCCGCCGUGCCGUCCACCGUGCACGGUGGCCGGAGAUCGAAAAAGGUGUUUGUGGCGCGGAUUCGAUCUGUCGAUAGGAGCAGAGGCGGUGGUGGAUGGGACAGGGGCAAGUGGCUGAACGGCUAGGGUUUUAGGUUUUCCUUUAUUUUUCUUUAAUGUAUUGGGCUAGGGGCCAAACGGGCUUGUACAAUAAUUUUAAUGAAUAACCAUUAAUAUUAUGGCAAAAUAA
Molecule: long non-coding RNA, 320 nt
Organism: Gossypium arboreum
Lineage: Eukaryota; Viridiplantae; Streptophyta; Magnoliopsida; Malvales; Malvaceae
Exons: 2
Source: RefSeq, a predicted model, not a curated record